CAACUGUGUACGCACUGCAUUUCAUUGCAUCUGUCAUUCUAGAAAUCUGUGAUAUCGGACAGUUAUAGAUAAAAACAACCGACAUUUAUAACGAUAUCUGCUGAUAAUCUCCAUCGACGUCAAUCAAGGUUUCGAAUUUUAUAGUUCUAAAUGAAGUCAUACUGCAGUCCAGAUGCAAUUUCAUCGCGUUGAUUCAGACGUACAAAACAUAAUGCGUCGAGGGAAACACGAGUGGAUACUUUUGGAUCGAUCAAAGCGUAAUGUAUGCUGGCAGAAAACGAAGUCACAACUUUCACGAAUGUUCGCUAAAUUGCCAAUGCACAGUCAACAGUGUACAAGCUGACUGAAUAAAUUGACUUGUCAUAAAAAAAUAUCCAGGAGGAACUUUUGAAUUUCGAGAAUCACCAGAUUUUCCUUUUUACAUCUUAUUACAUUCACUCUGGCGAGUUCAAUACGAUGUCCAAUUUUUGUUUUGCCGUUAUCUCGAUCUUGACCACAUCUUACAUUCAGGUGAAUAGUAACCGACUUGCCAACUUUCUCCGGAUUCUGAUCUUGAGUAGCGGUUCGGAAAGAUGAUUCGGCAGCGGCCUGAUCAGCUCGUAAUCAGUGGUCGGAGCAAUCUUUCGAAAAGCAAAGGUCCCGGGGUCGUAUCUUGGUGCAUUCUAAGCUGUGAAAUAAUUUUUUCUGGAUCCGCCGAAACGCAUGUCGCAAACCACACGUACAUAUGUAUACACAUCAUAAUCUGAAAAUGAUUGGAGGCGAUUCUCUCUAGACUUCGAAAACGUGGAGAUCUACCGACAACACAACUUUAAUUUUCGGGAUUCACCAUAUAACGCACGUUCUUCUCAACGUAUUGAAUUAAAAAAAAGACGUGGUUAACAGGACACGUAAACAAU
This 896-nucleotide long non-coding RNA is filed under the name Neodiprion lecontei (redheaded pine sawfly). Its description in RNAcentral is "uncharacterized LOC124293623". The record is from RNAcentral. Lineage: Eukaryota; Metazoa; Arthropoda; Insecta; Hymenoptera; Diprionidae.